RNAcentral lists this long non-coding RNA (682 nucleotides) under Polistes fuscatus (common paper wasp). RNAcentral describes it as "uncharacterized LOC122524146". The record is from RNAcentral. Lineage: Eukaryota; Metazoa; Arthropoda; Insecta; Hymenoptera; Vespidae.
ACAUUUUUGGAUUACUAUUCUUUUUUUAUCAAGCAUUCUGUAAAUUAUUUUCUAAUUUUUUUAGUAUACAUAAUCUAUUAGUUUAAAACUGCUGAUUAGAACUAAAUAAGUAUUUUGUAACAUUAUUAUAAUAUUUUAUUACAAUACAAUUUACUUUUUUUCUAAUGGUGUAUCGUAAUGCAAAGUUUGUAUCAAUUUAAUAUCUGCCACUAAGAUAUCCACAGUCUAAGAAUAGAAAGAAAGUAAAAUUUAUUACACGCAUUCUCAUAUUAAAGAGAUAAGUGGCUUACAUUAGUACAAACACGUCUUUUUCUUUGACUUUCCACAGUCCACAAUUCAUGGCUAUUUAAUAUAGCAGCUUGAGGAUACAUGUAAUUUUAAUAUAAACAUAAUUUCUGUAUAUACUCACUGAAGAAGACCAUACAAUUGAUCGUGAAUCAAAUUAAUCGAUGGAAUUGUAAUUAUUAUAUUAAAAUGCACGACAGUGGAAGCUUGAAUAAUACCACUUGCAGGUAUUAUAUAAAAGUAAUUCGUUAAAUUUUCAUUUUCAACUUCAUUUUCUUCGUUAACUUGCACAUGACGUUUAUCCCAAUGAAAGAACACAUACAUUUGGCUGCGCAUAGAAUAUAAAAUGUAAGAAUUCAUUAAUUCCAAUACAAUAAUGAUUCAGGAGCACUGGAAA